Molecule: ribosomal RNA, 394 nt
Filed under: Lirceus sp. 2 TL-2022a
Lineage: Eukaryota; Metazoa; Arthropoda; Malacostraca; Isopoda; Asellidae
Description: partial 16S ribosomal RNA
Source: RNAcentral
UCAUUUGUUUCUUAAUUGGAAACUGGAAUAAAAGAGGCGAUGAAAAAUAGACUUUUGAUAUUAUAGAUUAAUUUGACAUAAAGGUCAAAAGGCCUUUAUCCACCCGGGGGACGAUAAGACCCUAUAAAACUUUACUUUAAAUUAGACCUUCUUAGGGUUGGGUUAUUCUAAAAAGUUAAACUGGGGCGGUUUUUACUAAAACUGUAAGAGAUUAAAUAUAAAAUAUAGAAUAUAAUAACUUAUUUAAAAAUUUCAAUAAGUUACUUUAGGGAUAACAGCRUAAUCCUCUAAGAGAGUACAUAUCGGCAAGAGGGAUUAUGACCUCGAUGUUGAAUUGGGAAAAUUUUUAUGGGCAGUUUUAUAAAAAAUUAGUCUGUUCGACUAUUAAAUUCCC